Non-coding RNA from Chiloscyllium plagiosum (whitespotted bambooshark), 3550 nucleotides. Lineage: Eukaryota; Metazoa; Chordata; Chondrichthyes; Orectolobiformes; Hemiscylliidae. The record is from RefSeq and is a predicted model, not a curated record.
GGGAUGUGUAGAUUAGGUGCAUUAGUCAGGGGUAAAUACAAGUUCGGGGAAUGGGUCUAGGUGGGUUACUCUUUGAAGGGUUGGUAUGGACUACUUCCACACUCAGGAUUCUAUGGAUUCUACACAUUUUUCGAUAGUGGUUACUGCACGCUGAUUGAGAGCCAAAGCCUUGGCUUGUCAUCUGCCACAGCCAUCAACCACAACUCUGAGGAGCUUUGAUGUAAUUUGUUCCUCUUCUAGAAGUCUUGGGACUAGUAAAAUUGGGUGUUGACCAGAGGUCAGAUGUGAAACCUUCCUAGUGUGCCAACUAUCCAUCAUGUAGUGCAUUUAGAAACUGGGCCAUCUUGUGGUUAGUUAUUGCCUCUGUGUUUAAAUUCUCAUUGCCAUUUAUCGGAAAUGGAGAGGUGGGGCUGAGUAGGGCUAUAAGGAAGAAGCUUAAACUGGAUGUGAGAUAUAGGUUUACAGACUCUGUUCUGGCCUUAAUUCAGCAAUAUUGUGUCUUUCUGAUGAAGCUUGUCAUGUUUUACUGCAGGGUUGCUGUUACUUGAUCUGCUGAAUCCUGAAUGUUUUAUGUUUCAAAAUCCAGUGCUGCAGUCCUUUUGAGAAUUACAGGCCCUGUAGCACAUGGCUCAAUGCUGUCUGCUCCAGGAUUUCAUUCACUUUAUUCAAAUGAACUAAUAAAACCAUUUGAAGCCAUGAGUCUUGAAUGCAAUAUUUAUGAAAUGAUUGCAGUUAUUAAAUCUGUGCCUUCUGCCUUAAGUACUUUACAAUUAUAAAUGUCCUAUGCUUUGCUUAAAUGAAAACAACAUUUCUGGAUUGGAUCUGACAUAAUAAAUGAGUAUAGGUUCUCAUUGUUGAGAACAAAUUGUGAUAAUUAGCUUGAAGCUAUUAAUAUUAGAGGCUGACUCGAACGAUUGGAAGAAACGAGGAAAGAAAAAUGAAACCAUCUUUGGAUUAGCUGGGCCGCUGAUUAAAGAAACCCAACUUCAAUCAGUGGGAUUCCCAGGCUUUUCAGUGACGUUUGGAGAUCAGCUUCUCUGUUUCUCUCCAUUCGUCUUCAUGGAAACCAAAUAUUAAAUUUGUUUCCAUGAAUUAGCAAUGGCCUUGGAAAGGACCAUUCCUGUAAAACCACGUGUGAAUAUUUGCCAUUUCUGUUUUCAAAGGAAAAAAAUGCACUUGUCAAUGCAAGCAACUCAGCAACUGUAAGAAUUCUUUGUGCCUGCAACGCUUGUGCAGAUGUUGUUUGAAGAGGCAGUGCAGGUUUGAUACUACCUGUUGGAUCUUGCUAACAAUACCUCAAAAUUGCCUCUAAUCUCAUGUGCAGAUUUCUAGCUGUUUACAGCCAUCUGAUGAAUGUGGUGGUGUUACUCUCUUUGCAGAGGACGGAAUUGUCUGGCCACCAUCUCUUCCCCUUAUUCUGGAGUUUUGCACAUACACCCCCAGCACAAUUUGUGACCAGUGGACUUCCACCCAGAGAUAUAUAUUUGACGAGCUAGCUACUGCCACUUGCCUGAAAGUGGUUUCCAGUUUAACUGGUGAAUUUCAAAGCUGUGUCCAUCCACCAGGAGGUAACGUUGAUGAACACAUGGAAUCAUCCAUGUGUGAAAUGUAUGUAGAACUGUUUUGCAGUGGGUUAAGCUUUCUAGCAGACUGCAACUUGUGUAAAUUGUCCACAUAGGUGUUUACUAAACAGCACCCAGUACUAGCAUGGGAGGACGAGAUUGCUUCUCUGGCGGGAGUCUCAGUACUCUGGAGUGCUGCACUCUUAAAGGGUCGUCAUUCAGGCAUGGCAUAAACUAAACCCCUAUCUGCAUUCUCAGGAGUACACCAAGAUUCCAGUGGCACUUUUUUGAAUAAGUGUUUGCGAGUUCUAUCUAGUGUCCUGGUCCAUAGUUAUCCUAGAACAGUCACCAUUAAAAUGGAUCAUUUGGUCAUGUAUCUCAUUGCUGUUUAGAGAACUUGAUCUGCAUUACAACAUUGACCACACUUCAAAAGUACUUGGAAUGUCAGUGGGUUGUGAAAGGUGAUGUGUGAAUGCAAUUACUUUUAACUGACUUAGUACCUAUUAAUAAUUUUUUUUUGUGGAGCUGUGGCUCAAGGUUUACCAUUUUUAAUGUUUUGUGAUUGAAACAAUGUGAGAAGUUAUAUUAUUAUUAUUUUUACUAGUCUGUUGUAACACAAGUAACCAAUAUGAUCCGAAGGCCUUUCUGGAAUUAUCUGUUUUAAAAGUAAGUGCAGAUUUACUGGAUUACUUUGUUGAUAAAAUCAAUAUUAUCAAUAGUGAAUGAAUAAAUCUUUUAUCUGUUGAAUUUUCUUUACACUCAAAUAAACCUGGUUUCAAAGCAUCUAAUCUGUCUUUUGAAUAGCUAUUGUCAGGUUUUAAAAUCUUCAAAAUAAAUUGCAGAAACUCUAACAAUGGAGGUGUUUCAAUUUGUUUGUUUGAAAGGAUACCAUAAUCUUUCCCCAAUGGAUAUGUGCUACUGGACCUCCGGCAUUAGUGAAAAUUUGGGCUGCGUGUGACAAUGUCCUCAAAAUUAAUCUUCCAUUCCUGGAGACUGUACAAUUGACUCUGGUGCCAGUAAAGACCCAUAAAAUUGGACUCAGGCAGCGGUCUCCCAGUCUCAAAAACUCAGAGAUGCAAAUAAAAUCCAGUGCUAUGACAUCUUUUACAUUCACAAAAGAGACAGAAGAAGAUGUCGAUUUCACAUUGCCUCUGAGAGACGGCACAAUUACUCUGAGGUUUGUGCCUGAGAUUCAAUUUGAUAAAGAAGUCCGCAGUACUCACAGCUGUCCAUGUUAACAUUAGUGGAUUGUUUGUGAAGCUCCUUAUGUACUGUUUGUAGGAUUCCAAGUGCUUCAGUCUAUUUUAACCAGGAAUUAAGGUGCUUUGUUACCAGAAGAAGGUUUGCUUGAGUCUAUAUGACACAAAUUCUUGUUUAUUCUGACAGUUGUCAUGUUUUAAUGAUUACUUUGCAAUGUUUGGCCUGGGUGGGAUGUUUUUUCCCUAUAUCUCUGUGUAAUCAGCCUGCACCAAUAGCUCAGCCAACUUCUCAACUUCCUGCUUCAACUUUGGCAGAAGCUUAGAUUUCUGUGUCCCCUACGUUACUGCCUUAAGAGUUUUUCCACAAGUAUGAUUCAGAGGUUGCCAAUUUGUCUGUAUUCUGUUGUUACACUUAUCUCCCAGCUUCUGAAUGAAGUGCCAGGUGGGGGGUCUGAGACAGCAAUUUGGAAAUUAUUUUCUUUGAAAAGGAAUGAAAUGCGAAGGAGAUUGAAACACAAUCCAAAUUUACUGUUCAAUCAAUAUCUGUGUAAGAAAAGAAAGGCUUGCAUUUAUGUGGAAUAGGAUGUGAUUAUUUUUUGUCAAAAGAAAUAAACAAUGUGAAAGCUUUUUGCACUGAAAUUACAGCAGGAAAGUCAUCACCAGAUCUGCUUCAAACUGAUUUCUACAGCAGUGUGUGAAGGUUUGACAAUGCUGUUGAUGUGGGAGCCUCAAAUGACCGCAAGUAUCUAAAUGACUCUAAAAGAGCAUGUCAAUUUCAGUGAUAUCAAC